GCCCGCGAGUUCAAAUUCGACGUAGUGGCCGCACAACGCUCUACGGACGAACACUAUCAAGGUGGAACUUUUCACACAUUUUUCUUUUGCUUGCAGUAUAUAAGGAAUAUAAGGUAUCGGAAGGCAGUAUAUAAGUAUUUUUACGCAACUGUAUGUGCGUCAAAUUAACCUAAUACGCAACGGUCACACAGGUGGUCGCAUUGGAUUAUUAUUGUGAAAUGUUCUGGCAGUAGUAGAAUUUUUGGAUGUCUUGAGGAAAAUCAGCCUCGUGUUGCGUGCGUUUUCUGGCAUAAUAUGCAAAAAUUUAUCAAUUCUAUAAAAGAUUGGAAUGUAAUGAGUAUUAAUUUAAAAAUAAAUCAUUUUUAGGUUUUAA
Molecule: long non-coding RNA, 373 nt
Organism: Drosophila ananassae
Lineage: Eukaryota; Metazoa; Arthropoda; Insecta; Diptera; Drosophilidae
Exons: 2
Source: RefSeq, a predicted model, not a curated record